AUUGAACGCUGGCGGCAUGCUUUACACAUGCAAGUCGAACGGCAGCACAGGGAGCUUGCUCCCGGGUGGCGAGUGGCGCACGGGUGAGUAAUACAUCGGAACGUGUCCUGUUGUGGGGGAUAACUGCUCGAAAGGGUGGCUAAUACCGCAUGAGACCUGAGGGUGAAAGCGGGGGAUCGCAAGACCUCGCGCAAUUGGAGCGGCCGAUGCCCGAUUAGCUAGUUGGUGAGGUAAAGGCUCACCAAGGCGACGAUCGGUAGCUGGUCUGAGAGGACGACCAGCCACACUGGGACUGAGACACGGCCCAGACUCCUACGGGAGGCAGCAGUGAGGAAUAUUGGUCAAUGGACGAGAGUCUGAACCAGCCAAGUAGCGUGCAGGAUGACGGCCCUAUGGGUUGUAAACUGCUUUUAUAAGGGAAUAAAGUGAGUCUCGUGAGACUUUUGCAUGUACCUUAU
RNAcentral lists this ribosomal RNA (458 nucleotides) under uncultured bacterium. Its description in RNAcentral is "bacterial SSU rRNA". It matches the Rfam family "Bacterial small subunit ribosomal RNA", at positions 30 to 483 of the family's 1533-position model. The record is from RNAcentral.